Molecule: unclassified non-coding RNA, 337 nt
Filed under: Hevea brasiliensis (rubber tree)
Lineage: Eukaryota; Viridiplantae; Streptophyta; Magnoliopsida; Malpighiales; Euphorbiaceae
Source: RNAcentral
AUGAGUCAUUGUGGAUGGAAUUCAUGUAUCGAGAGCAUUUCAAUGGGAGUUCCAAUGGCAGCUUGGCCGAUCCAUUCAGAUCAGCCGAGGAACACUGUGCUGAUAACAAAAGUACUGAAGAUCGGGAUUAUUGUGAGAGAUUGGGAAAAUCGAUAUGAAUUGGUAAGUGCUGCGAAAAUUAAAAAUGCGGUGAGAUUUUUGAUGGAUUCUGCCGAAGGAGAGGAGCUGCGGCGGAGAGUGACAGAGUUGAGCAGUUCUGUGAAGAAGUCAGUGAUGAAUGGCGCCAGUCGCAAGGAGAUGGACUCCUUUGUUGCUCAUAUUACCAGAUAAGUUCGCA